This 496-nucleotide ribosomal RNA is filed under the name Blastocystis sp. RNAcentral describes it as "SSU rRNA". It matches the Rfam family "Eukaryotic small subunit ribosomal RNA", at positions 460 to 953 of the family's 1831-position model. Lineage: Eukaryota; Bigyra; Opalinata; Blastocystidae. The record is from RNAcentral.
GGAGGUAGUGACAAUAAAUCUCAAUACGAAGCCUUUGGUUUUGUAAUUGAAUUGAGAACAAUGUACAAUCGUUAUCGAUAAACAAUUGGAGGGCAAGUCUGGUGCCAGCAGCCGCGGUAAUUCCAGCUCCAAUAGCGUAUAUUAACGUUGUUGCAGUUAAAAAGCUCGUAGUUGAAGUUUAGAUAAUUUAUUGAAAGUGUUUGUAUUCGUACAUUCUACUUUUAUGUAAGUUAUCGACAUCCAGGUGGGUAUCAUAAUCUCGCAAGGGGUCGUGGUACUAGACUGGUCAUUUACUGUGAGAAAAUUAGAGUGUUUAAAGCAGACUUUUAUCAAAAUAGUUUGAAUAGAUUAGCAUGGAAUAAUAAGAUUGGCUUUCAUAGUCGAUUUUUUGGUUUGUUUAUGAAAGCAAGAUUAAUAGGGACAGUUGGGGGUAUUCAUAUUCAAUAGCUAGAGGUGAAAUUCUAUGAUUUAUGGAAGAUGAACAAGUGCGAAAGCA